CUACGGGGGGCUGCAGUGAGGAAUAUUGCACAAUGGGGGGAACCCUGAUGCAGCAACGCCGCGUGGAGGAUGACGCAUUUCGGUGUGUAAACUCCUUUUAUAUGUCAAGAAAAUGACGGUAGCAUAUGAAUAAGCACCGGCUAACUCCGUGCCAGCAGCCGCGGUAAUACGGAGGGUGCAAGCGUUACUCGGAAUCACUGGGCGUAAAGGACGCGUAGGCGAGUUGGAAAGUCAGGUGUGAAAUCCUACAGCUUAACUGUAGAACUGCACUUGAAACUUCUAAUCUAGAGUAUGGGAGGGGGGGAUGGAAUUAGUGGUGUAGGGGUAAAAUCCGUAGAUAUCACUAGGAAUACCUAAAGCGAAGGCGAUCUCCUGGAACAUUACUGACGCUAAGGCGUGAAAGCGUGGGGAGCAAACAGGAUUAGAUACCCCUGUAGUC
This 439-nucleotide ribosomal RNA is filed under the name uncultured bacterium. RNAcentral's name for it is "partial 16S ribosomal RNA". It matches the Rfam family "Bacterial small subunit ribosomal RNA", at positions 339 to 795 of the family's 1533-position model. The record is from RNAcentral.